This 360-nucleotide unclassified non-coding RNA is filed under the name Hevea brasiliensis (rubber tree). The record is from RNAcentral. Lineage: Eukaryota; Viridiplantae; Streptophyta; Magnoliopsida; Malpighiales; Euphorbiaceae.
AGCAAAGUCAACAGGGGGGGUCACAGGGCAAGAUCCUCGUCUAAUCCCAUGAUAAGAUACUAGUUCCUGAGACUUACUGUAGACUUUGCUAUAAAAAUUCAAUUUAUUAGCUUUCAAAUCCUCGAGUUCUUUAGGGAUGCCCAAAAAUCCCCCUCCACGGAAGGGUGACUGAGGUGCUUGAUUGCGGUAAGGAGAUAUGCCCCCUGAUCGCCUAAAAGGAGAUGUCCGACUUAUCAUUUGCCGGUCACUUGUAUAUGAGAACCGAUUGGAUCCACAACUUAGCUUGUUCUCAACACCUACAAGCUUAGGUGAUCGAAUUUCAUUGUCUAGAUUUUGUUUAUAAACAGCAUCCUUGGCAGG